RNAcentral lists this ribosomal RNA (511 nucleotides) under Acaulospora sp. Aco3. RNAcentral's name for it is "SSU rRNA". It matches the Rfam family "Eukaryotic small subunit ribosomal RNA", at positions 569 to 1078 of the family's 1831-position model. The record is from RNAcentral. Lineage: Eukaryota; Fungi; Glomeromycota; Glomeromycetes; Diversisporales; Acaulosporaceae.
AGCAGCCGCGGUAAUUCCAGCUCCAAUAGCGUAUAUUAAAGUUGUUGCAGUUAAAAAGCUCGUAGUUGAAUUUCGGGGUUCAUACGUUGGUCGGGCUUUUUUGGUCUGUACUUAUGUAAUGGAUUCCUACCUUCUGAAUAACCGGCAUGCCAUUAAUUUGGUGCGCCGGGGAAGCAGGACUGUUACCUUGAAAAAAUUAGAGUGCUUAAAGCAGGCUAUCGCCUGAAUACAUUAGCAUGGAAUAAUGAAAUAGGACGGCAUGGUUCUAUUUUGUUGGUUUCUAGGAUCACCGUAAUGAUUAAUAGGGAUAGUUGGGGGCAUUAGUAUUCAAUUGUCAGAGGUGAAAUUCUUGGAUUUAUUGAAGACUAACUUCUGCGAAAGCAUUUGCCAAGGAUGUUUUCAUUAAUCAAGAACGAAAGUUAGGGGAUCGAAGACGAUCAGAUACCGUCGUAGUCUUAACCAUAAACUAUGCCGACUAGGGAUCGGACGAUGUUAAUUUUUUAAUGACUCG